GCAUGGCCGAAUUCUGAUUUACUCUUGAAGUGGUAAAUUCAGUCAGACAUCAUGCGAAAUAACAGUUUUCACACAGAC
RNAcentral lists this small nucleolar RNA (78 nucleotides) under Hippocampus comes (tiger tail seahorse). RNAcentral's name for it is "Small nucleolar RNA SNORA15 (ENSHCOG00000000665.1)". The record is from RNAcentral. Lineage: Eukaryota; Metazoa; Chordata; Actinopteri; Syngnathiformes; Syngnathidae.